This 459-nucleotide ribosomal RNA is filed under the name uncultured bacterium. RNAcentral's name for it is "partial 16S ribosomal RNA". It matches the Rfam family "Bacterial small subunit ribosomal RNA", at positions 338 to 795 of the family's 1533-position model. The record is from RNAcentral.
CCUACGGGUGGCAGCAGUGAGGAAUAUUGGUCAAUGGGCGGGAGCCUGAACCAGCCAAGCCGCGUGAGGGAAGAAGGUACAGCGUAUCGUAAACCUCUUUUGUCAGGGAACAAAGGCGGGGACUAGUCCCCGGAUGAGGGUACCUGAAGAAAAAGCAUCGGCUAACUCCGUGCCAGCAGCCGCGGUAAUACGGUGGAUGCGAGCGUUAUCCGGAUUUAUUGGGUUUAACGGGUGCGCAGGCGGCCUGUUAAGUCAGCGGUAAAAGCCCGGGGAUCAACCCCGGCGAGCCGUUGAAACUGGCGGGCUAGAGUUGGAGAGAGGUACGCGGAAUGCGCGGUGAAGCGGUGAAAUGCUUAGAUAUCGCGAAGAACACCGAUGGCGAAGGCAGCGUACCGGCUCCACACUGACGCUGAGGCACGAAAGCGUGGGUAGCGAACAGGAUUAGAUACCCGAGUAGUC